RNAcentral lists this unclassified non-coding RNA (594 nucleotides) under uncultured fungus. RNAcentral describes it as "sequence contains ITS1, 5.8S rRNA gene and ITS2". The stretch from base 219 to 372 matches the Rfam family "5.8S ribosomal RNA". Lineage: Eukaryota; Fungi. The record is from RNAcentral.
CUUGGUCAUUUAGAGGAAGUAAAAGUCGUAACAAGGUCUCCGUUGGUGAACCAGCGGAGGGAUCAUUACCGAGUUUACAACUCCCAAACCCCUGUGAACAUACCUUUAUGUUGCCUCGGCGGAUCAGCCCGCGCCCCGUAAAACGGGACGGCCCGCCGCAGGAACCACAAAACUCUGAUUUUAGUGUAACUUCUGAGUCUAAAAAACAAAUAAAUCAAAACUUUCAACAACGGAUCUCUUGGUUCUGGCAUCGAUGAAGAACGCAGCAAAAUGCGAUAAGUAAUGUGAAUUGCAGAAUUCAGUGAAUCAUCGAAUCUUUGAACGCACAUUGCGCCCGCCAGUAUUCUGGCGGGCAUGCCUGUUCGAGCGUCAUUUCAACCCUCAAGCCCCCGGGUUUGGUGUUGGGGAUCGGGCUGUACUCCAGCCCGGCCCCGAAAUCUAGUGGCGGUCUCGCUGCAGCCUCCAUUGCGUAGUAGCUAACACCUCGCGACUGUAACGCGGCGCGGCCAAGCCGUUAAACCCCCAACUUCUGAAUGUUGACCUCGGAUCAGGUAGGAAUACCCGCUGAACUUAAGCAUAUCAAUAAGCGGAGGA